Molecule: ribosomal RNA, 446 nt
Filed under: uncultured bacterium
Lineage: Bacteria
Description: partial 16S ribosomal RNA
Rfam family: Bacterial small subunit ribosomal RNA
Source: RNAcentral
AGCGAACGCUGGCGGCAGGCCUAACACAUGCAAGUCGAGCGCCCCGCAAGGGGAGCGGCAGACGGGAGAGUAACACGUGGGAACGUGCCCUUGGUUCGGAACAACCCAGGGAAACUUGGGCUAAUACCGGAUAAGCCCUCACGGGGAAAGAUUUAUCGCCGAAGGAUCGGCCCGCGUCUGAUUAGCUAGUUGGUGGGGUAAUGGCCCACCAAGGCUACGAUCAGUAGCUGGUCUGAGAGGAUGAUCAGCCUCACUGGGACUGAGACACGGCCCAGACUCCUACGGGAGGCAGCAGUGGGGAAUAUUGGACAAUGGGCGCAAGCCUGAUCCAGCCAUGCCGCGUGGGUGAUGAAGGCCCUAGGGUUGUAAAGCCCUUUCGGCGGGGAAGAUAAUGACGGUACCCGCAGAAGAAGCCCCGGCUAACUUCGUGCCAGCAGCCGCCGUAA